RNA transcript from Oncorhynchus gorbuscha (pink salmon), 2070 nucleotides. It is a transcript of the gene named BTB/POZ domain-containing protein 10-like, with no coding region annotated. The transcript has 8 exons. NCBI's taxonomy places the organism in Eukaryota, Metazoa, Chordata, Actinopteri, Salmoniformes, Salmonidae. The record is from RefSeq and is a predicted model, not a curated record.
AUGGCAGCACGUCCACAGUCAUAUGAUAGCAACUCAAGUGACACUGAGAAUUGGGAACGAAAAACAACCACCUCGCAAACUCUGCAAGCACUCGAGCGCUCAGUCGUGUGCAUCUCGACUGGAGGCAGACCUUGUGAAGAUGAGCCUGCAUGGUGCUAGCGGGGGCAAUGACCGCUCACGCGACCGCCGCCGCUCCAGCGACCGCUCCCGAGACUCGUCGCACGAGAGGGGAGAGGGCCAGCUCACCCCUUGCAUCAGAAAUGUCACCUCGCCUACCCGCCAGCACAACAGUGACCGUGAGAGGGACGGUGGCUCCAGGCCCAGCAGCCCCCGUCCUCAGAGGAUUUCCCCCAGCGGCUCCAGUAACAGCGGGCUGGUCAGCAGCCGUAACAGCAGCCUGUCCAGCACUGAGGGCUGCUUUAAGAGCCUGGGGGUGGGAGAGAUGGUGUUUGUCUAUGAGAAUAGCAAGGAGGGACUGGGCACGGGCCUGGGUACCCGCAGCAUCCGGACCUCAGGCUCCGAGAGGGUCACUCUUAUAGUAGAUAACACACGGUUCGUGGUGGACCCUUCAAUCUUCACAGCACAGCCAAACACCAUGCUGGGCAGAAUGUUUGGAUCUGGAAGGGAACACAAUUUCACACGGCCCAAUGAAAAAGGAGAGUAUGAAGUCGCCGAAGGCAUCAGCUCUACGGUGUUCCGAGCCAUCCUGGAUUACUACAAGUCUGGAAUAAUCCGUUGCCCCGAUGGAAUCUCCAUCCCUGAGCUGAGGGAGGCAUGUGACUAUCUGUGCAUCACCUUUGACUACAGCACCAUCAAGUGCAGAGACCUCAGUGCCCUCAUGCAUGAGCUAUCUAACGAUGGUGCCCGGCAUCAGUUUGAGUUCUAUCUGGAGGAAAUGGUUGUGCCUCUGAUGGUGUCCAGCGCCCAGAGUGGAGAGAGAGAAUGCCACAUCGUGGUGCUCACUGAUGAUGACGUAGUGGACUGGGACGAAGAGUACCCACCACAGAUGGGAGAAGAGUACUCACAGAUAAUAUACAGCACAAAACUAUACCGGUUCUUCAAGUAUAUAGAAAAUCGAGAUGUUGCCAAAUCAGUUUUAAAGGAGAGAGGACUGAAGAAAAUAAGAUUAGGCAUUGAAGGUUACCCCACGUAUAAAGAGAAGGUGAAGAAGCGUCCUGGUGGCCGUCCUGAGGUCAUCUACAACUACGUCCAGAGGCCCUUCAUCCGCAUGUCCUGGGAGAAGGAGGAGGGCAAGAGCCGCCAUGUUGACUUCCAGUGUGUCAAAAGCAAGUCCAUCACUAACCUGGCUGCAGCUGCUGCAGAUAUCCCCCAGGACCAGCUGGUCAACAUGCACCCUGGCCCUCAGGUGGACGAGUUGGACGUCCUCCCUAACCAGUCCCCCAGUGGACCCCAGUACAGCUACAACAACGAUGCUGGUGACCCAGACGCCCCCUCUCCCGCAGUCUGAGGACUGCCCCCUCCCUGACACUUCCCUUCCCAGCGUACUGCAGCAUGGAGCGAGAGGGGGAUCAAUAUAGAGGGGGAUCAUAACCAUAUUGCCUUGGCACCUCCUCCACAGCCUUAGAGCCUCAAGGAUCUGGUCGACUGUAAAAACCCUAUAAGGGACAAGACUGGCAAAAGGGCAUAUUUCUUUUUCUUAAAAAAAAUACUUGACCAAAGGAAUUUAUUUUUCUGUUAAUUGUUUGAAAUAAAUUUAGCAAACCCAAUUAUUUUGUAGCUAUUAUUAUUAUUUACAGUGGUUAUCAGGCUGUGCACUGUGUGGUGUUACUGUGCUCUCCCCCUGAGUUUUAUUUCACGUGUGGUUCUGGGCAUACUUCCUGGAUGGCAAGACUAGUGAAUACUGUAUCUGUUUGGGGGAUAGGUGCAGAUCAUGAUGCCUGGCCAUGGAGAAAAUCCUCUGAUUUCAUCACCAUUCAGUGGAAAUUACUGUUGAAUUCCCCUCAGAUAUACUUUGAAUCAUGUAAUGGUUGGGUUGGUUGACAUCAUAGGAUUGGUAAUGGGAUUCUGUGCUCCCUGGAUAUUCAGCAUGACAUAAAGACAUUAAAAUCA